UGGGGGAUAUUGCACAAUGGGCGAAAGCCUGAUGCAGCGACGCCGCGUGGGGGAUGAAGGCUUUCGGGUUGUAAACCUCUUUCGCUAUCGAACAAGGCCCGCUUAGGGUGGGUUGAGGGUAGGUGGAGAAGAAGCGCCGGCUAACUACGUGCCAGCAGCCGCGGUAAUACGUAGGGCUCGAGGGUUGUCCGGAAGUAUUGGGCGUAAAGGGCUUGUAGGCGGCUUGUUGCGCCUGCUGUGAAAACGCGGGGCUUAACUUCGGGCGUGCAGUGGGUACGGUGAGGGUUGAGUGUGGGAGGGGUGACUGGAAUUCCAGGUGUAGCGGUGGAAUGCGCAGAUAUCUGGAGGAGCACCGAUGGCGAAGGCAGGUCACUGGGCCAUUACUGACGCUGAGGAGCGAAAGCAUGGGUAGCGAACAGG
Molecule: ribosomal RNA, 420 nt
Filed under: bacterium
Lineage: Bacteria
Description: partial 16S ribosomal RNA
Rfam family: Bacterial small subunit ribosomal RNA
Source: RNAcentral